AUUACCAUACGAACAGUUUCGUCUUUUUAUAAAUAACCAAUCACAAAAAUCAUUUUUCACUUGCCUGAAUUAUGCUACAAAAGUUCCCUCGGUGCAGUUCUUGAAAUAAGCCAAUCAGCAGGUUACUUCUUCCGCACACAAUCUCUUUAUUUUGAUUCCCUGGCAAUUCAUAUUAUUUUUUUCUCAUAUCAAAGACACACACAACAAUAGCACUGUCAAUUUUAUAUAUAACUUUCACUUAGUAUAUACGCAUUUUCUAUACACAAGAAAAGAAAAAAAGCAUUAGUACAUAUGGCGAAAGAAAAUCAUAACAAAACUAUUGUUUUGCAAAAAAAAAACAACAAAGUGACUACCUGCACAAGAUGUUGCUUUUAGGCUCAUCGUAGUAAGUAAGUUAAAUUUUUUUCAGAUUACGAUAACAUUAUAUGUUUGAACUUAUCGAUAACAAUGUUAAAUUACGGAACUAUAAUCAUUUGUUCUGUUGCACUGUGAUAUUCGUACGGGCUUCAUGCCAAAAUGAAAUUGUAAUAAUAAUAUGAUGUAAACAAACGUGAUAAUUUUGUUUUAAGAUUUGCACCCAAUAUUUCAAUUGACUUGCAGAGCGAAUUGUCUGCAAAAAUCUUACAAAUAAUUAACACUUAAAGCUUAAAUAAAUAAAAAACGUUUCGUUAAAUUGUUGACUAACGAUGAAUUUAAAAUAAACAAAAUAAAGACAUACGUUCUAAUUAAAAAUUGAAUAUGCAAUAACAUCGAAAAGCGAUUUGCUAAUAAAAACAGUGAUUGCAAAAGUAUGCUAAUUAUACAUUCUCGAUACCUUAUGACAAAGGAAGGGACAUACACAAUAAAAUAAUGUACUGUUGUGGGAAAUCUUAAGCCUAGUAAUGUAAAUAUCACAAAUUAGUUAUUUAAUACUAUUAUCCCCUGUGCAUUCCAGGUAUUGUCUUGGUGAAAAAGUUUGGUGUUGAAUAUUGCCCAGAAUCAUUGUCAGUAAAUAAGUAGCAGCAGUAAAUAAUUCAUCCAACAGAAUGUUGUCAUGUGCAGCUAAGUUUUCUACAAAUCUUCUUUGCAGGUUUAGGGUAUAGCUGCAAAAUGACACAAUAUUGGCGGUGCUGUAAAUGUGAUCGUUAGAGAACCUUUUAGUUGGAUUUUAAAAGUUUUGACCAACACAUUUUCUUAAAAUCUUCCUCUCAAACGUCUCAACUUCUUUAGCUACAUAUGGCGAAAUGGUGAACCAAAUUGGGAAUCCAUAUCCAAUAAUUGGCCGGAUUGUAACUUUAUAAAGUCGCAGCUUAGUAUUUUGCGGCAAAUAAGUAUUGCACAUUAAUGUGGACAAACGUCAAGCAGUUAAAUUGGCCUUUUUCAAUGAUGCUCUGGCGUGUUCAUUAAAUUUAAAUAAUUUAUUUAUAUGUAUUCCCAAAUAUUUGAAGGAAUCUCGGAAUGGAAUUUCUAUGCCAUCCAAUAAGAGACGCAGAUUCUUCGCUUCGGGAACAACGCUUCUAUGACAUUUCCCAGAUGCGUUUCUAAUACAUACUGCUUCCGAUUUAGCUGCGUUUACUGUGAUUCCCCAAGUUUUAUAAUAUUUACUUAUAUCGCCAAGGUGAAGAGCGGCUUGCUUUAAGGCUUCAGUGGUGCUGUUUGUGUAUGUUAUGAAAGGUGGUAAAAUGGAUUCCAAUGCAGAAUCAAACUGUCGACGAAACAUACUCCAAUCCGUGGACUUAUAAGAAACAACCACUCUGGGAGUUUUGAGGAUAAUACCACCUGUAUUGAACGAAAUAUCCAAUUUGAGAGGGUAAUGGUCAGAAAAUGAGGGAAUACUGGUUAUUUUGUAGUUGCCUGCAUCAGUAUCUAUCAGUUUUGGGCUGACCAAAAAAUGAUCCAAAUAAGAUGGACCAUUAGGGUAUGAAGGAGAAGAGUCACAUAUUCGAGUAACGUCUGUGGCAUUAUCAAGCAACCAAUUGUAAAGUGUCCUUCCAUUAGUGUUGUCCAUUAUAUCACCCCACGUCGUGUGUCUAGAAUUAAGAUCCCCUCCAAAAAUAAAUCCAUCAUAAUUAUUAGUAAACUGCAGACAAUUAUUUAGACCAUUGAUUAAGUGUUGUGUGUUGAAAUUGGUUGAAAUAUAAAGUGAACCUAGUAAAAAUUUCUGCAUUGAAUUGUUAAUUUUUGUCUCAAUCUCAAUAAAGACUGCAUUAAAAUUUAUAUCCUCAGCUGUAGUGCGCUUGUAAUUGAUGUCGUUUUUUAAAAAUACUGCCAUGCCAAUAUUUGAGUAGUCAUAUCAAAAUGUGUAACCCUUCAUAUAAACUUUUUAUUUUUUCGAAGUUGGCAUUCUUGGAUAAAUGUAAUAUCAAUUUUGUUUUUGGAGAGAUAUUUAUGUAGCUCGAUCUGACGACUGCGAUCCACAAGAGACCGGACAUUGAAGGCUAAACAUUUUAAGGACCUAUGGACCAUAAGUAUCCUUUUUUUAAAAGACGCAUGAAUUCGUCUUUAGCUUUACUCUUUGACAUAUUGUUGAAUUCUGCCAGAAAUAUGUUUAUUUCUUGCUCUGGCGUUAGUUCCUCUGGUUGCAAGAAAAUAUUUGACAAUUUUAAAAAUUCGUCAAUAAUUGAUGGUUUACUACUAUGGCUCGUCGUAGGAUGAAAAUGACUUACAAAUGUUUUAUCUGCUGUAACAUAAUUGUUGGAAAUGACAUGACUCAGAUUUUCUGUUGCUGCCAUUUCAAUGUUUAUGGCGUUUUGAAUGC
Musca domestica (house fly) is the source of this 2737-nucleotide long non-coding RNA. RefSeq lists it as uncharacterized. The transcript is spliced from 3 exons. Lineage: Eukaryota; Metazoa; Arthropoda; Insecta; Diptera; Muscidae. The record is from RefSeq and is a predicted model, not a curated record.